GAACGCUGGCGGCGUGCUUAACACAUGCAAGUCGAACGGUGAAGCCCAGCUUGCUGGGUGGAUCAGUGGCGAACGGGUGAGUAACACGUGAGCAACCUGCCCCUGACUCUGGGAUAAGCGCUGGAAACGGCGUCUAAUACUGGAUAUGUGACGUGACCGCAUGGUCUGCGUCUGGAAAGAAUUUCGGUUGGGGAUGGGCUCGCGGCCUAUCAGCUUGUUGGUGAGGUAAUGGCUCACCAAGGCGUCGACGGGUAGCCGGCCUGAGAGGGUGACCGGCCACACUGGGACUGAGACACGGCCCAGACUCCUACGGGAGGCAGCAGUGGGGAAUAUUGCACAAUGGGCGCAAGCCUGAUGCAGCAACGCCGCGUGAGGGAUGACGGCCUUCGGGUUGUAAACUUCUUUUAGCAGGGAAGAAGCGAAAGUGACGGUACCUGCAGAAAAAGCGCCGGCUAACUACGUGCCAGCAGCCGCGGUAAUACGUAGGGCGCAAGCGUUAUCCGGAAUUAUUGGGCGUAAAGAGCUCGUAGGCGGUUUGUCGCGUCUGCUGUGAAAUCCGGAGGCUCAACCUCCGGCCUGCAGUGGGUACGGGCAGACUAGAGUGCGGUAGGGGAGAUUGGAAUUCCUGGUGUAGCGGUGGAAUGCGCAGAUAUCAGGAGGAACACCGAUGGCGAAGGCAGAUCUCUGGGCCGUAACUGACGCUGAGGAGCGAAAGGGUGGGGAGCAAACAGGCUUAGAUACCCUGGUAGUCCACCCCGUAAA
RNAcentral lists this ribosomal RNA (762 nucleotides) under Microbacterium maritypicum. Its description in RNAcentral is "bacterial SSU rRNA". It matches the Rfam family "Bacterial small subunit ribosomal RNA", at positions 31 to 806 of the family's 1533-position model. Lineage: Bacteria; Bacillati; Actinomycetota; Actinomycetes; Micrococcales; Microbacteriaceae. The record is from RNAcentral.